RNAcentral lists this ribosomal RNA (850 nucleotides) under uncultured bacterium. Its description in RNAcentral is "bacterial SSU rRNA". It matches the Rfam family "Bacterial small subunit ribosomal RNA", at positions 8 to 846 of the family's 1533-position model. The record is from RNAcentral.
AGAGUUUGAUCAUGGCUCAGAUUGAACGCUGGCGGCAUGCCUAACACAUGCAAGUCGAACGGCAGCACAGUGGUAGCAAUACCAUGGGUGGCGAGUGGCGGACGGGUGAGUAAUGCAUCGGGACCUACCUGAACGUGGGGGAUAACGUAGGGAAACUUACGCUAAUACCGCAUACGUCCUACGGGAGAAAGCGGGGGACCUUCGGGCCUCGCGCGGUCAGACGGACCGAUGUUCGAUUAGCUAGUUGGUGAGGUAAUGGCUCACCAAGGCGACGAUCGAUAGCUGGUCUGAGAGGAUGAUCAGCCACACUGGGACUGAGACACGGCCCAGACUCCUACGGGAGGCAGCAGUGGGGAAUAUUGGACAAUGGGCGCAAGCCUGAUCCAGCAAUGCCGCGUGUGUGAAGAAGGCCUUCGGGUUGUAAAGCACUUUUAUCGGGAGCGAAAUACUACUGGUUAAUAACCGGUGGGGCUGACGGUACCCGAGGAAUAAGCACCGGCUAACUUCGUGCCAGCAGCCGCGGUAAUACGAAGGGUGCAAGCGUUAAUCGGAAUUACUGGGCGUAAAGGGUGCGUAGGCGGUUUGUUAAGUCUGUCGUGAAAUCCCCGGGCUCAACCUGGGAAUGGCGAUGGAUACUGGCAAGCUAGAGUGUGUCAGAGGAUGGUGGAAUUUCCGGUGUAGCGGUGAAAUGCGUAGAGAUCGGAAGGAACAUCAGUGGCGAAAGCGGCCAUCUGGGACAACACUGACGCUGAAGCGCGAAAGCGUGGGGAGCAAACAGGAUUAGAUACCCCGGUAGUCCACGCCCUAAACGAUGCGAACUGGAUGUUGGUCUCAACUCGGAGAUCAGUGU